This 3616-nucleotide long non-coding RNA is filed under the name Mus musculus (house mouse). RNAcentral describes it as "long non-coding RNA chr12:89348486-89352102". The record is from RNAcentral. Lineage: Eukaryota; Metazoa; Chordata; Mammalia; Rodentia; Muridae.
UUGUCUUCCCUUCUUUUCUGAUUUCCAUUAUUUUCUUUAAAUUAUUUUUUUCUUGAAAGUUAGCCACUCACCUCUUGUUUAAUAGACCAUGGAUUAAAAAAAAAAAAAAAAAAAAAACCCAGCAACAAAUACCUUCUCCCUGUUUUUGCAUGAGGGUUUGAUGUCAAUUUUUGGUCUCUGACGGUGGUGACUUCCUUACUAGAUUAUUCGUUUUCUAAGUUUCCUUUCUUGAUUUUUUGGAAUUGUUUAGCUUUGUGUAAAACACGCUACUUUGGUCCAUCUUUUGAUCAAUCAAUCAUAUUUCCAUUAAGUCCACUUCCUUGGUCACCACUCAAAACAGUCAAGGACAGAAGGGAGGAGACACAAUGAGAGUGGGUGGGAGAGAACUCCACUGUGCCUUGUUUCUAAUUCCAUAGUAACUAUUCCUAUGAAUUAUUCUGGUGGUCCUCAGGUCUCCUUUAUCCAGUUAGAAACAGCUCAGAGAAUCCGACUAUGGAAGGUGCACCUCCUGGUACUUACAGCCGUCUUUCUUGCUGGUGUUCUUAAUCACCUGCCAGCAGUUCUUUUGAUGUAAAGACUGUUAUCUCACAGUGUCCACGAGUUGCCCCAUUUACUCUGUCCCACACAUAUUAACUUCACCUAGAUUUGAAAAAAUGAUGACGACUUCAAAUUUGUAGCUUCCUCUGCAGUUACCUCUAAUGGAUAUACAUUAGAACCUUACAGCCUCAUGUUCUUUCUUGCUAUUGACUCUCUUUACUGGAUCCUAAUUAUUUUCUGUGGAGAAUGGGAACUUCUUGGGUUUGAAAGAAAACAAACAUUUGUGUCUCUGGCCUUUUCACUCAGCAGAAAGCCAAAUGCUCUGAGAUGUCAGAAUGAAUGAUUUAGCUGAGUUCACACUUCUAAGCUGGUGGACCCAUGUAGGUUUCUAGACCAUGUUUGGACCCAGAGCUUUUAAAGAAAGAUUUGCCAGAGCCACAGAAAAAUGAACCUGACUCAGUAGCAUUGAAAACUCUACCUGUGCUGACUGAAGUGGGUUUCUGAAUAGACAAAACUCUUAUCUGCUGUCAGGUCAACUGGUACCGACUCCAAAAUAUGAAAACCUUGAAAACAUGGGACUGUUUUGAGUAGUGGCUCAUCUAGUUCUGUGUUUUUAUUUUACUUCUGGUUUUUAGCACAUACGACACAGUGCACUUUUUCUUGUCUAAUCUCAUCUGCCUUUUGUUUUCGAUACGUCUCUUGGUUUUUUCUUGUCUGUGUAUGUGUCUGUACUUGAUUAUUUUAGGUUUGUUUUUUUAUACUAUUAUUCUGUUGCUGGAACUUUUACUGUGUGCGUAUCUGUAUUCUUGUGUUUUCAAUCCUCCCUACCAUCCACCAUGGUAAAUCAAAAGAUGGUAUUCAACCCUUCAAAGGCCCAAAGCCUGCGGCCCGCAUAGCAAACAGCCUUGAGAACACAGAGUACUGAGAAGCCUACAGGGACUGGCAUCCCUCUGCCCUUCCCGCCUGCCCUUCCACAGAACCCUCCCCUCCUCAACUGGACCAAACCUAGCAUGUUACAUUACCUAAAACCAACAACCAGAUAUCCUAAGAUACUUCUCUGAGUAAACAGCAGAGAGAACAACGGCCCAUCCCAAAGUAUGAUGCAAAGGAUAAAACCAAAUAUGAGAGAGACCCUGAGUAGUUCAACCCCAGAAAAGCAAAAGACAGUCUUUCCCUCUCUGUCAACUUUGAAGUAAGAGGAAUAUAUAUAUGUGGAAAUAUAUAUAUAUGGAAAUGAGCCUCAUAGCAUCCCAGAGAGUACAUGUGUGUCUUUUAAUAAACAAGUUCUUUUUUUCAUUAAAUGAUGUUGUGUGAAGGCUAUGAAGGCAACUGUGACAGGCACCACCUUCCAAGAAAACUAAUGUCAGAGAAAGGGAUGAAAGAUGAGCAAGGAGGAAAAGCGAUGAAAGAUUCUCCCUCUCUCUCUCUCACAGACACACACAUUGCACACACACUUACACACUAUCUAUGAGUUAUUCAUACAUGCUAAAUGUAUUCCUAGAAACACACCAUUCACACUUUUUCUAUUUUAAACUAUGGCCAAGCCUGGGACCCAAGCCUUGUAAAACAACAGCGUUUGUCUUUUGACAUAUGUCAGCUCAGCCUCCGUCUAGCUCCUACUAUGCUGAAACAACCUGGCUGAAAGAGUCUCGACAUCAUUAGAGCACUGUUCUCUCCUUAAUAGGGAGAGUCCUUUGCUUCUGCCCCAGGGCUAUGGCACAUCACAACUGUGACUUUGGAUUAUGUAUCUUUUCAUUCAAGCCUGACAUAGGAAAGUAAACAUUAAUCCUUGUGCUGCGUACAGUCUUCCUAUUCAGGACUUGUCUAAAGGUUUUGGCACUCCCUCUCGCAAGUAUUUUCUUUCCUUAUUAUAGUCAUUUCUUCCUUCUAUUAACUACAGAAGAAAAUUAUCUCCAAGUACAGUUUGCAUCUACACAUAGCCUCACCCAAAUGGCCUUUGCUUUCUUACUACAAUUUCUUCCUCGAGCAAUGUCUCAUUCUGUAGCCAAACAUAUCCUGAAGUUCUCUAGCCUGGAGUAGCUCAGGCUAGCCUCUUGGGUGUUUGUAUUCUAAGUAGUUCCCCUCUUAUAGCACACAUGAAGCAUAUCCCAAAUUCAUUCAAAUUGCUAACCUAGGUGAACUCCUGUGAGAAAAACCUAGUAUAUAUUUCUCUGCCAUAACAUAAUUUUUGUAAGGUUUUCUUUUUGAAAGACAGGUACAUGUAGCCUUAGCAGACCCACAAACACCAGGCAUCAUGAUUUUGAAAAUUGUAAAGCUGGCUUUUGAUCAACCAGUAUUUGUUCCUUGUGUCUUAAAAGAGGAAGUAACAGUAUUUUGCCAUCAAAGUAUAUUUAAAGAUCUCAAAGAUUAUGCUUUAUUUUACUCCAGCAACAGUUUACGAGAUAAAUCAGCAAUUUGGUUUUUUUCAAUGUUUGCUUUAAAGAUGUGAAGCUUCUAUAGGUAGUUAGUAGCAGAGCUGAAAUUAGAACUCCUGUCUCUAAACUGCUAGAUCCUUAUGUGUUGACCUUUUUUUGCUCUACAGAGCUAUAUUGUAGGUCAGUGAUGAGAAUGUCUGAAUGGUAACAUUCUUGACAGUCAUUCUUGAAGCAUCCACACAGGGGAUCCCUCUUUGCCUUAGUGCUCAGUUUUAAUUGAGCCACAUUACCGAAAAGCCACUGAUGGGCAUGAGGCCUUUGGCAUCCUCAGUACAGUGCUGGGAGCCACUAGAGACUCUAAGGAUAGUGUCAGGCAUUCAGCCAAUCACAAUUGAUUUCUCCAGAUGUUCUUUCUCUGGACAUCCUGAACACUGCUUUGGCAUAGCUGAAAAUCACACAGCUUUCAGAAGCACUCAUGUCUUCUAGACCUAGUGCAAAGUUCACCAGUAUGGAAAGCCAUCAUUUCUUCCAUUUCACUGAAAUAAAACAGAGGAGCUAAACAAACCAAAUAGCACACAUACACACACAUACCCAAAUGCACUAGUGCCAACUUUUUUCAGUCAGAGAGGGUACCCUGGCUGCUACAGAAGAUAGACACAAAAGGGAUGGCCUUCCCCAAAUCAAUUCUCUCAGCUCAUUUUUUC